GAUGAACGCUGGCGGCGUGCCUAAUACAUGCAAGUCGAGCGAACAGACGAGGAGCUUGCUCCUCUGACGUUAGCGGCGGACGGGUGAGUAACACGUGGAUAACCUACCUAUAAGACUGGGAUAACUUCGGGAAACCGGAGCUAAUACCGGAUAAUAUAUUGAACCGCAUGGUUCAAUAGUGAAAGACGGUUUUGCUGUCACUUAUAGAUGGAUCCGCGCCGCAUUAGCUAGUUGGUAAGGUAACGGCUUACCAAGGCAACGAUGCGUAGCCGACCUGAGAGGUGGAUCGGCCACACUGGAACUGAGACACGGUCCAGACUCCUACGGGAGGCAGCAGUAGGGAAUCUUCGGCAAUGGGCGAAAGCCUGACGGAGCAGCGCCGCGUGAGUGAUGAAGGUCUUCGGAUCGUAAAACUCUGUUAUUAGGGAAGAACAAAUGUGUAAGUAACUAUGCACGUCUUGACGGUACCUAAUCAGAAAGCCACGGCUAACUACGUG
This 497-nucleotide ribosomal RNA is filed under the name uncultured bacterium. RNAcentral's name for it is "partial 16S ribosomal RNA". It matches the Rfam family "Bacterial small subunit ribosomal RNA", at positions 28 to 507 of the family's 1533-position model. The record is from RNAcentral.